UGUGUUCUCAGCUUGAACCGCCAUAUUGGUGAUCUUGGAGAUUCCAUCUCUCUGGGUUUGCAUUUAUCCAUGUGUAUUUUCAGUGGUGACUCUACGGACACAUGAAUAUGAUGAAUUCAGGACAGACCAGGUUAUAUUGCGAUAACA
This 147-nucleotide long non-coding RNA is filed under the name Mustela putorius furo (domestic ferret). RNAcentral describes it as "lncRNA (ENSMPUG00000025942.1)". The record is from RNAcentral. Lineage: Eukaryota; Metazoa; Chordata; Mammalia; Carnivora; Mustelidae.